AUUGAACGCCGGCGGCAGGCUUAACACAUGCAAGUCGAGCGGGGGAAGGUAGCUUGCUACCGGACCUAGCGGCGGACGGGUGAGUAAUGCUUAGGAAUCUGCCUAUUAGUGGGGGACAACAUCUCGAAAGGGAUGCUAAUACCGCAUACGUCCUACGGGAGAAAGCAGGGGAUCUUCGGACCUUGCGCUACUAGAUGAGCCUAAGUCGGAUUAGCUAGUUGGUGGGGUAAAGGCCUACCAAGGCGACGAUCUGUAGCGGGUCUGAGAGGAUGAUCCGCCACACUGGGACUGAGACACGGCCCAGACUCCUACGGGAGGCAGCAGUGGGGAAUAUUGGACAAUGGGGGGAACCCUGAUCCAGCCAUGCCGCGUGUGUGAGGAAGGCCUUAUGGUUGUAAAGCACUUUAAGCGAGGAGGAGGCUACUUUAGUUAAUACCUAGAGAUAGUGGACGUUACUCGCAGAAUAAGCACCGGCUAACUCUGUGCCAGCCGCCGCGGUAA
This 501-nucleotide ribosomal RNA is filed under the name uncultured bacterium. Its description in RNAcentral is "partial 16S ribosomal RNA". It matches the Rfam family "Bacterial small subunit ribosomal RNA", at positions 30 to 523 of the family's 1533-position model. The record is from RNAcentral.